Long non-coding RNA from Triticum dicoccoides, 1076 nucleotides. RefSeq lists it as uncharacterized. The transcript has 2 exons. The record is from RefSeq and is a predicted model, not a curated record. Lineage: Eukaryota; Viridiplantae; Streptophyta; Magnoliopsida; Poales; Poaceae.
UCUUCUCCUCUUCCGUCGCCGCCGAACCAACCCUAGCUAGCUGCCUACCUCGGAUCAGUCCGGCUGCGAGAGGCCACCGGCGGCAUGGCUGCGUGCGAUGCGAGCGCUCUAAUCGGAUCAAAUCAGAUAGAUCUGACCGAAUCCCGCCGCCGCGCCAGCCCCGCUCCCCGUGGCCGAUGACCGCGUCGGCUGGGGCCGCGUCCCUCCCCGGACGGCUGCGAUGAUGGAGGAACCCGCCGGCGCCGGCCAGGCUCCCGAGCGGCCGACGCGCCGGGUCGCCGCUCCUCGGGGCCAUCCCCUCCCGCCGCGCCGGCUCGGCUACCCCUCUGGGAUGCCGCCGGUGCUGGGGAACGUCCGCGGCGGCGCGGCCUGGGGACCGAGCGGCGGGGCCCGUGGUGCUCUCCGGUCGAGGGCUUGGUCGGGCGAGCUCUCGUUGCCGGAUCGCUGACCCAUCGUCCCGGUGGCCGCUGCGUCAGUUCCGCACCGCUACGGAGCCGCCAGCCGCCGCCGUUCCAUUGCCUUGGAUUCGGUUGUGGCGUGGGCCGGAACCGUGCUCUGUUGUCUGAUGCGUUGUUCGAGCCGGGAGGUUUGGUCGGUCGAGGCCAGGCAUGAGCAGCUCCUGAGCAGGAUGGAUGGAUGGAUGCAUUCAUGUGUCGUGAACUAAAACCACGACUCCUAUUUUGGAACGGAGGGAGUAUGUAUGUAUGGAUAUCAUGGUCAUGUUGCUUGGUGUGGGGGUUGAACCUCCUUUUUUGAAAAAAAAAGAGGGGCAAUGAUGAUGAUGACGACGACGAUGGCUGAAAUAAUCAUGUCUUGAGCAAUCAAGACAGUCGUGGCGUGGUGGUACUAAACAGAGCCGAAAAAUCGGUGUCUGCGUUGGAGUUGGCCUUAGAGCCCACCCUCGCCUCUCUUGCAGCCUGUCUAAUUUAUCGCUGAUGUUGGAUGCUUUGUGCCUCGGACGGUCAUUCUGUUGAGUGAUAACCAUGGCAGUUCUCUUGCAUCGUGAUGGGUAGAUUAUGCAGCAAGAGAUUGUGAGGGUUGGGCUUGAAGAUGGAAGACAAAACUGAGCCUCUUUU